Molecule: non-coding RNA, 801 nt
Organism: Biomphalaria pfeifferi
Lineage: Eukaryota; Metazoa; Mollusca; Gastropoda; Planorbidae
Source: the annotation of a GenBank genome assembly
GUUACAUUGAUUUAAAACAUUUAUUCAAAUAAUACAAUUUGCAUUUAAUUCAUUAUAUCUUCCAACAACCUUUGUAGCCAGACAAAUUACAACUGCUGAUAACAUUGUUAAGUAUGAGGGCUUGAAGGACAGACAAUAAUGAUCCUAAAUCAUAAUCCAUCCUUUUUUAUUUAAGACAGCAAAGCCCCUUUGAAAUCUAUUUUAUAUUGCCAGUCAGCUUCUUUUACACUUCCUCUUAAGAACAAAAUUAGUGUUAUUUGCAGACUUAACGUUCAUCAUGCAAUCUUCGAAUCCACCACCAUGUCUAUCACAUGAGAACCUGUUUUGAAUAUGAAUGUUGUUUUUUUUAGAUGAACCAUUUAAAAAAACAGCAUAAACUUAUCCUUUAAAAGAAGCUAUUCCUGGAUUUACAUGCAGACUCAUGAUGAGCUUAUUAUACACAAGAGUCUGUAAACCAGAGAACAGUUGGCAAUCAAUGUAACAGAUAUCAUACAGGUAUGAAUUUAUCUUAAAGACAAUGUGAAACAAACAAUUGACUGCAUUUCUGGACCAACAAUAAGUUACAAACUUUUUCAUUUCAAAUUAUCUAUGAGUUCUAGUUAUAGGGCAGAGGAGAGGAGAAUGGAGUUGAAACAAUUUUAAAUUGAGUGAUCAAUAAGCUCACAGCACAGGCCAAGAUAAUAAUUUCAAAAAGCAAUGAACAUGUUCAGUUAUGUAUUGUCACACAUAUCAUCAAACAACAAAAUCCUCAAUAUCACACACGCUAAACAGUCUAGUUUGGCAGCAGCAGGGAGAGGGGGG